ACUUGACGCAUGUCCUUUGUGUGUGUGCUAACUUUGUCUCAUGCCUCACAGAUAGACUACUACUGUAUUUUUACCAUUUUUCUUUCACCUCAUAUUUGGUGUCAAAUGCUGAUAUUAUGUGGGAAUGCAUAAAGAAGGACAUGUCCAGCAGAAGGCACAGAGGAAGGAAGGAAGAGGAGGAGGGACAGUCUGCAGCCGCCGCCUGCUCACGUUAGGCCAGCAUGAAGAUCAUGGAAAACUUUAAAAAGGGUGACUUCAUGGAUGACUGGAACAGCAGCAGGACGCCCUUUCAAGUUUUGUGGCCAUUUUGGUCACAUUUGACGUCAGGACCAAGCAAAAACACUAACCUGACUCGACAUCCAGGGAGUACUUAUCGAUAGCCAGGUUCAUGGUCUGGUAGGCCGUGUUGCAGAAGUCUUCCAGUAUCAGGUACACGGUGGAGGUGACGCCCUGAGCCACGGGCUUGCCAAAUUUCAUCCGGCUGUUGACCACGAUGCUCCCGUUGCGGAAGUUGAGGAUCUCUAGAUUCUCAAAGUUACUGAGGUUGGACUGGAGGUAGGGCACAAGCUGGGGAAAAGGAUGGGAAGAGUUGUUGCGAGCGAGAAUAUAUACGUCAAUGAAUAAUAACUUACCAAUUCUAGGAAGCGCUGCUCCAACGCUUUGUACUCUGCCGAGCUCUUGUUAAAGAGAUCCUCUGAGAAGAUCAUGUUGGUCACCCUCAGGCUGAAAAACACCAUCAGCGCUCGGCCAGGGUUUGCCGGCAUGGCGAUGCUGGCCGGGUCUGUGCCAUGUGACACACUGAAUGGGAACCCGGUGCUGCCCUCCUCUGUGUGGUUGAUCAAGCCAUAUUGGAUCACGUCGUAUCCCACGUUGUCGAUGGGAGGGGAGUCGUCUUCAUUGGUGGUCUGGACAUAGUGGAAAAUGGCAGUACGUUGUCUUCAUUCUUACUUCCCAUGCUACAUUGGGACUUACCUCCACGAGUGAAGGGAUGACAAGACACGGAAGUUGUUUCCGGUCUGUCCCUGUUGACCAGCAAGAUAUAGUCAUCUGCAAGAUCAUCUGUUGCAAUCUCCGAAGCUUCCGGAGGUUUUUCCACCGAAGCUGGCGCUUCUUCUGGAGCAGUUGCUUCCACUUCUUCAGGAUGCUUGGAUUCACCUUCUUCAACGGCCUCACCCGCUACAUCUGCAGCACUAGGAACAAAGCCCUCUUCUGCAGAUUCACUUGUCAGGAGCUCCUCAGUGACAACGCCGCUGUCCAGGUGCUCCUCUUCCAGAAUGACCACAUCCUCGGCGCCUGCCGCUGCCGGAGUCGUGUUAUCAGGCCACCAUAGCAAGUUGUCCAGGUCACCCGUACCCGAGGCCUCCACCGCCACUGGGGGUUCAGGCAAGGUGGUGCCUUCUUCUUGACUCUCCGGAGGGGAGACAUCCUCCUGCUGCUGCUGGUGGUCAUCUUCUUCUGGAGGGUUAUCUGCUACUGUGGUCCGCACUGUGUUCUCCAGCAGCAGACCCUCCUCCUUAAUGCCUACGAUAAACAAGUCCAGUGAGACUUGGCCUGAAAAGAUGGCUACCUCAAUCGGAACGUUUUCUACACUCUUUCAUGAUGAAAUUGCCCAUUUGCUGAAGUCCUUCAACAUUUACUGGAUCAAGUGCAUAAACACUCACUGCCUGUGUCAGGUGCCGACGUGGUGGCGACGGGAGGUGGAGCUAUAUCAACACUCUCCUCUAGAACCACGACAUCGCUUUCAGCCGUCACGACCUUGUCGCUUUCAGCCGCCUCGGGCAGGAAUUCGUCUCUCCUCACGUCUUCCAUGACGUCCUCCGGGAUUGAGGGCUCCGGCUCUGGUUCAUUCUCAGCAUGGACCUGCAUCACAAACACAACGUCUAAAUGUAGCGGGGUCAUCAAAAUGCCCUACCAGCUGUUUCAUAUCACGUUGCGUCAGGUUAAAUUAGGAAAUUUCUUUGAAAUGUUCAAUUAAGAGCAAUUCGUGUAGCUUAAACAUUGCUGCUGAACACAUGUAUGCUCCUGUAAUCAAAUCCAGGGCACGCCAGCACAACACAUCAUGACAUAAUGGCUUCAACAUGCUCUUUAUUUAAAGACUUAGCCAUUAACUGGGAUUAAUAACAGCGGCUUUGAUUAGGAUCAUUUAUUGAUGGCAAUGUAUUAAUUGGUUGUAAAUGUUAACACUGACACACUUCUGGCGGUGUACUUCUGAGUGUAAGACAUUGCUGCCAAAGUUCUCCGUGUGUCCAAUAAAUCCCUGAUGAGCCCCUCAACCUCGUUUUAAAAAUGUAUAAAGAUAGUUUUCAAUAAUUAUUUCGACCGGAGAAUAUAAAUUUGUAUUAAAAAAAGUGUUUUUCUGCUAUUACAUCAUGCAUGUAACAGCUGCUAACCUCAUUUCGUUGCAAAUGCAAUGACGACAGAAGGUUUUUAAUUGUAUAAUAUUAAAAGUAAAACACCUUAUAAAGCAAUGGUUCGCAAACUUGUACUCGCAGGUCAUUUCGCUUGUAGUCUAUAAGGACAUUGUAAUGUCACUUCAAUUUCAGCUAAUCUUUGGUUAAAUACCUUUGUAUUUAUACUGUAUGUCUCUAAUUUGAUUUCAUUUUUUUAAAAGCUCUGCUAUCCCGGACCACCAGUAGGUGGCGCCCAUGUGCCACCGGGGUACUCGUAGCACAGUUUGAGAAUUUAGGCUAAACAGGCGUCAAUAAACUGGAAUAUUGUGCAAAAUGUAUUUGA
Molecule: long non-coding RNA, 2733 nt
Organism: Dunckerocampus dactyliophorus (ringed pipefish)
Lineage: Eukaryota; Metazoa; Chordata; Actinopteri; Syngnathiformes; Syngnathidae
Exons: 4
Source: RefSeq, a predicted model, not a curated record